AUGUCCCAUGAAUAUAUUUUCAGAUUUCUACAAUAUGCUACACUUCAAACUUCAUUCUCCAUUAUGAUUCUCUGCUCCAUGAACUGUUUUUAUGAAGCAGCACAAAACCGAUUAAAAAGGUUUGUGCAUCAAAACUCAAUAUCUACUGUCCACUACUCCCAAAAGAUUUCUGCAAUAUGCUACACUUCAAACUUCCUUGAUGAGUUAAUGUUCCAUGAAUGUUUUUUCAGAUUUCUGCAAUACGCUAUACUUCAAACUUCCUUAUC
Cyprinus carpio (common carp) is the source of this 266-nucleotide long non-coding RNA. The record is from Ensembl. Lineage: Eukaryota; Metazoa; Chordata; Actinopteri; Cypriniformes; Cyprinidae.